This 458-nucleotide ribosomal RNA is filed under the name uncultured bacterium. RNAcentral describes it as "partial 16S ribosomal RNA". It matches the Rfam family "Bacterial small subunit ribosomal RNA", at positions 338 to 795 of the family's 1533-position model. The record is from RNAcentral.
CCUACGGGUGGCAGCAGUGAGGAAUAUUGGUCAAUGGGCGAGAGCCUGAACCAGCCAAGUCGCGUGAGGGAGUACUGCCCUAUGGGUUGUAAACCUCGUUGGUCGGGGAGCAAAAGCCGGACGUGUCCGGCUGUGAGAGUACCCGAAGAUAAAGCAUCGGCUAACUCGGCGCAAGAAGCCGCGGUAAUACGGAGGAUGCGAGCGUACUCCGGAUUUAUGGGGAUUAAAGGGUGCGCAGGCGGAUUUUUAAGUCAGCGGUCAAAUCGUGGGGCUAAACCCCAUCCAGCCGUUGAAACUGGGGAACUAGAGGGUGCGAGAGGUAUGCGGAAUGCGUGGUGUAGCGGUGAAAUGCAUAGAUAUCACGCAGAACCCCGAUUGCGAAGGCAGCAUACCGGUGCACAACUGACGCUCAGGCACGAAAGCGUGGGUAUCGAACAGGAUUAGAUACCCCAGUAGUC